RNAcentral lists this transfer RNA (76 nucleotides) under Methanobacteriota archaeon. RNAcentral describes it as "Euryarchaeota archaeon tRNA-Val". It matches the Rfam family "tRNA". Rfam says of the family: Transfer RNA (tRNA) molecules are approximately 80 nucleotides in length. Their secondary structure includes four short double-helical elements and three loops (D, anti-codon, and T loops). The record is from RNAcentral. Lineage: Archaea; Methanobacteriati; Methanobacteriota.
GGGCCCAUGGUCUAGUGGUUAUGACAUCUGCUUGACACGCAGAAGAUCACCGGUUCGAGUCCGGUUGGGCCCACCA